UACAGAGGGGGCAAGCGUUAUUCGGAAUUAUUGGGCGUAAAGAGCUCGUAGGCGGUUUGUCGCGUCUGCUGUGAAAACUGGAGGCUCAACCUCCAGCCUGCAGUGGGUACGGGCAGACUAGAGUGGCGGUAGGGGAGAUUGGAAUUCCUGGUGUAGCGGUGGAAUGCGCAGAUAUCAGGAGGAACACCGAUGGCGAAGGCAGAUCUCUGGGCCGUAACUGACGCUGAGGAGCGAAAGCAUGGGGAGCGAACAGG
RNAcentral lists this ribosomal RNA (254 nucleotides) under uncultured bacterium. Its description in RNAcentral is "partial 16S ribosomal RNA". It matches the Rfam family "Bacterial small subunit ribosomal RNA", at positions 524 to 776 of the family's 1533-position model. The record is from RNAcentral.